GCGGCGUGCCUAAUACAUGCAAGUCGAGCGAAUGGAUUGAGAGCUUGCUCUUAUGAAGUUAGCGGCGGACGGGUGAGUAACACGUGGGUAACCUGCCCAUAAGACUGGGAUAACUCCGGGAAACCGGGGCUAAUACCGGAUAACAUUUUGAACUGCAUGGUUCGAAAUUGAAAGGCGGCUUCGGCUUGUCACUUAUGGAUGGACCCGCGUCGCAUUAGCUAGUUGGUGAGGUAACGGCUCACCAAGGCAACGAUGCGUAGCCGACCUGAGAGGGUGAUCGGCCACACUGGGACUGAGACACGGCCCAGACUCCUACGGGAGGCAGCAGUAGGGAAUCUUCCGCAAUGGACGAAAGUCUGACGGAGCAACGCCGCGUGAGUGAUGAAGGCUUUCGGGUCGUAAAACUCUGUUGUUAGGGAAGAACAAGUGCUAGUUGAAUAAGCUGGCACCUUGACGGUACCUAACCAGAAAGCCACGGCUAACUACGUGCCAGCAGCCCGCGG
RNAcentral lists this ribosomal RNA (503 nucleotides) under Bacillus sp. AQ30. RNAcentral describes it as "bacterial SSU rRNA". It matches the Rfam family "Bacterial small subunit ribosomal RNA", at positions 39 to 520 of the family's 1533-position model. Lineage: Bacteria; Bacillati; Bacillota; Bacilli; Caryophanales; Bacillaceae. The record is from RNAcentral.